CUUGAGUUUGAUCCUGGCUCAGGAUGAACGCUAGCUACAGGCUUAACACAUGCAAGUCGAGGGGAAACGACAUCGAAAGCUUGCUUUUGAUGGGCGUCGACCGGCGCACGGGUGAGUAACGCGUAUCCAACCUGCCCACCACUUGGGGAUAACCUUGCGGAAGUAAGACUAAUACCCAAUGACGUCUCUAGAAGGCAUCUGAAAGAGAUUAAAGAUUUAUCGGUGAUGGAUGGGGAUGCGUCUGAUUAGCUUGUUGGCGGGGUAACGGCCCACCAAGGCUACGAUCAGUAGGGGUUCUGAGAGGAAGGUCCCCCACAUUGGAACUGAGACACGGUCCAAACUCCUACGGGAGGCAGCAGUGAGGAAUAUUGGUCAAUGGACGAGAGUCUGAACCAGCCAAGUAGCGUGCAGGAUGACGGCCCUAUGGGUUGUAAACUGCUUUUAUAAGGGAAUAAAGUGAGUCUCGUGAGACUUUUUGCAUGUACCUUAUGAAUAAGGACCGGCUAAUUCCGUGCCAGCAGCCGCGGUAAUACGGAAGGUCCGGGCGUUAUCCGGAUUUAUUGGGUUUAAAGGGAGCGUAGGCCGGAGAUUAAGCGUGUUGUGAAAUGUAGAUGCUCAACAUCUGCACUGCAGCGCGAACUGGUUUCCUUGAGUACGCACAAAGUGGGCGGAAUUCGUGGUGUAGCGGUGAAAUGCUUAGAUAUCACGAAGAACUCCGAUUGCGAAGGCAGCUCACUGGAGCGCAACUGACGCUGAAGCUCGAAAGUGCGGGUAUCGAACAGGAUUAGAUACCCUGGUAGUCCGCACGGUAAACGAUGGAUGCCCGCUGUUGGUCUGAAUAGGUCAGCGGCCAAGCGAAAGCAUUAAGCAUCCCACCUGGGGAGUACGCCGGCAA
RNAcentral lists this ribosomal RNA (895 nucleotides) under uncultured bacterium. RNAcentral describes it as "bacterial SSU rRNA". It matches the Rfam family "Bacterial small subunit ribosomal RNA", at positions 1 to 891 of the family's 1533-position model. The record is from RNAcentral.